This 9508-nucleotide long non-coding RNA is filed under the name Hordeum vulgare. Its description in RNAcentral is "long non-coding RNA (HVUL_LNC010104)". The record is from RNAcentral. Lineage: Eukaryota; Viridiplantae; Streptophyta; Magnoliopsida; Poales; Poaceae.
GCGGCUUCGUCCGAGACACUGUUGUAAUUCGAAUUUCUCCAUGACGCUGUGAGGGUGGUUGGGAGGAAAUCACACGCGACGUCAUUGCCACGAAUCUAUCUAGUUCUUCGAUUGAGCCCUAUCUUACAAUACGUCUCCUCUUCUUCUGCCUCUAAUGCACCCUGAUCAAUCGCUUCUUUUGUCUCUAAUGCACCCUGAUCAAUCACUUUAUCAAGAUAGAUACUGCAGCCCUCGAACCAUGAGAUCUAUCGAGCAAUUUCUGCAACAAAUUAAGUAGAGUUUACCCAGAAUCCCAACCCGUAUGUUUCUCCCCUCUCCUGUAAAUCUCCACAACAAUAAGUAUAACAGUCAAUAUAUAUGGACACAGCUGCAUGAGGGCAAAUCAAGGAAAAACAGAAAAACACAUCAAUCAGGUUGCUUGUUCAAUAUACACACCUUCACAAACAUUAUCUUCUCCUUUUCAUAUUUUCUUUCUAGCACAUAAUAAGCACCAUCAUCCAUAUUUCAAAGUCCUGAUUGUUAAUUUUGCAUGUGUGUGUGGCAAUCUGGAUUCAGCAAAAGCUCUGAAUCCUUUCCUGGGAAUCUUAGUGUUAUCAUAGAUUCUUCCCUGCUAAAGAAUACUUGUUGGAAAUAAGAAACACAAGAGGUUUUAUAUGCUAAUAAUAAUAUGCUACAGAAAUACAAAAACCAGAAAUGAGAUGACCAAAAAAAAUGAGCUUGUAGUAUAAAUACCAACUGCAACUACCAACUACAAACGCCUUGUCCCAGCUUAUCAGGAAAUCAUCUUCUCAAGCGUAUAGUACAAAAACCAAAUACUUUGUAGAAGCAUAUAUAUGCACCCCCCCCCCUAUAUUUUAAUAUAAAUGCACCGUAAUUUUACGCCCCGCAAAUUUUAUUUUAUUUAAUACGUAAAAUAAUGAUGGUAAGAAAAUAUAUAAUGGCCAUAAAAAUAUUUUAUGUUACGUAAAAUCACAAACGUAAAAACAUAGUGUAUAAUAUGCACAAAAUGCUAUUUUCCUGGUCUUAUGACCUAUAUAUUUGUUUUCUUAUGCCAAAUUUUACGCAGUGAAUCAAUAUGAAUAUAACUAUUUAUAUUGCAAAUAUAAUUUAUUUAUAGAAGGAUCGUAAAAUUACCUUGGAUAAAGAAUAACUUAAGAGAGAGAGAAAGGCUCAAUGGCAAUGGGCAUAUGUGCAGUAGAGCCGUAACCUUAAAUAUUGUUGCCAUGCUUAUCUGCACUAAAAAGGAUAAAGAGUGACCCUGACCCAUGUGCAUUGAGGGGUACACCAAAGUUAGUCAUAUGCCUAAGCUUGGUUUGUGGAAAAGGAAAAAAACAAUUAUUUAUUGUAGGAACGGGGGAGAGAGGAGUACCUCCAGCACAAGUGUUUUGUGCGUGGCGGCUGUCUCAGGAACGGGAGAUGGCUGGGAGCCUCCUUUUAGGUUAGUCCCACUACAUGGGCCUGGGCCCUAAGAGAUAACUUGUAUGGGCUGGGCCAUACCAGUUCAACACUUCCCCUCAAGAUGGGUGGUAGAUAUCUAUCAUUCCCAUCUUGUCACAUGCCAAGUUACAAUCCUUUCUUCCCAGACCCUUUGUCAAACAAUCUGCAAACUGCUGCCCAGAACUGACAUGAGUAAGGCUGAUGACCCCGGCAUCAAGCUUCUCCUUAAUGAAGAACCGAUCAAUUUCCACAUGCUUUGUCCUAUCAUGUUGAACUGGGUUAUUAGCGAUGGCUAUAGCUGACUGAUUGUCACACCACACCUUCAAGGGCCCCUUCCUCAGAAGUUUCAACUCGCUCAGUAGGUACUUCACCCAGAGCAUCUCACACAACCCUUGAGAUAAUGCUCUAUACUCAGCUUCUGCUGUUGAUCUAGACACAACCGGCUGUUUCUUGCUUCUCCAUGAUACCAAAUUUCCUCCCACAAACACGCAGUAACCAGAAGUUGAUCUUCUAUCAUCUUGACAACUGGCCCAGUCAGAGUCACUAUAGCCAUCCACCUCAAGAUGUCCACUCUUCCCAAACCACAACCCUUUACCCGGAGUCCCCUUCAAGUAUCUCAGGAUUCUGUGCACAAUAUCAAGAUGCCCACUCCUUGGUUCAUGCAUGUAUCUGCUCACCACCCCCGUAGCAUACGUAAUGUCAGGCCUGGUAUGACACAAGUACAACAACCUUCCAACCAGUUUCUGAUACUCUUCCUUAUUCACUAGCUCUCCUGAUUGUGCUGUCACUUGGUGAUUUUUUUCAAUCGGAGUAGGGGCAGUACGACAUCCCAUCAUGCCCACGUCACUCAAGAGAUCCAAGGUGUAUUUUCGUUGGCACAAAGAGAUUCCCUUCUCUGUCCGAGCCACUUCAAUGCCAAGAAAGUAUUUUAGGUUACCCAAAUCCUUUACCUCAAACUCCUUGCUCAAACAACCCUUCAAUCUCUCUAUUUCCUCCUCAUCAUCUCCAUCUCCAGUGAUGAUAAUGUCAUCCACAUAAACAGCAAGAAUGGUGAUCUUCCGAUCAGAGUGCUUGUAGAACAUCGUGUGGUCACCGUUACACUGACCAUACCCCAUACCACGGACAGCACGUCUGAACCUAUCAAACCAGGCCCUUGGUGAUUGCUUCAGUCCAUACAAGGAUUUCUUCAGCCUGCAUACCUUCCCCGUAGUCUCUGAAGUACCAAAACCUGGUGGUAUUUCCAUGUAGACUUCUUCUUGCAACUCACCAUGCAAGAGGGCAUUUUUGACAUCUAAUUGAUGCAACUUCCACCCAAAGUUUGCAGCACAGGAGACCAAUAUCCUUACUGUGUUCAUCUUUGCCACGGGAGCAAACGUCUCAUCAUAGUCAAUUCCAUAAGUUUGACUAUAUCCUCUGGCGACCAAUCUGGCCUUAUACCGUUCCACCUUCCCUUCAGGAUUCUGCUUCACUACAUAGAUCCACUUACAACUCACUGCUUUCUUUUCUGUCGGCAAUGUGGUUAGCACCCAUGUCUUGUUUUUCCUUAGUGCUUCCAACUCUUCUAUCAUCGCUUCACGCCACCUCGGAUCUUGCUUUGCAGCCUUCCAAUCCUUUGGAAUUGACACAGUUUGAAGGGAGGCAACAAACGCCUUAUAUGUGGGUGACAAAGCCUUAUAAGACACAAAAUUGCCAAUAUCAAGAUCAUCACAAGCAUCAUCCUUCGGUAGAGCCUUCCUUGCUACUUCACCCUUUCUUGCCGCUUCACGUGUAGCCUUUCGCAAUGCAAUGGGCAGCUCCACUGUGUCAGAUGAGCUCGUCUCACUAUCUUGCUGCUCCCCCUGCACUCUUGCCUCACUGUCUUGCUGCUCCCCUUGCACGUGUGGUUGCCGUCGAGAGUACACUAGGGUGUUCGUCUGCCAUCGAUCCCGAACAGGAACCCGAAGAGCACCAAUCUUAAGUGUAUCGACGGUUGGCUCGACAGGAACCUGCACAUCAUCAUCAGUGAGAGUACUAACCGGAAUUGUUCCCACUGUUGGUUGGACCUGAACUUGCACAUCAUUAGCAGUGUUAUUGCCCACAGAAUCACCCUGAGUAUGAGACACAUCCUUCUCCCCCUCUUGACCAUCGUGCACAUGAUGUAGGUGGUCAAGCUCUGCAAAUAGCAGACUGAGAUCAGUCGGCGUACCAUAGAAUGGCUCGGACUGCCUGAAGAUAACAUCCAUACUCACGAACCUGCGUUUUUCAGAGGGAGACCAACAUUUAUACCCCUGCUGACUAGAAGAGUAUCCCAGGAAGACACACUUCACUGCCCGAGGAUCAAGCUUUCCAACAUAUGGUCGGUGAUCACGAACAAAGCAAGUACUGCCAAACAACUUUGGGGAAACAACAAACUUAUUAUCUCCAAUGAGCAACUCAGACGGAGAUUUCAUACCUAAUAUCCUGGAAGGUGUCCGGUUGAUCAGGUACGUGGCUGUCAUAACUGCUUCAUCCCAUAAGAACUUAGGCACAUUCAUGGUAAACAUUAAUGACCGAGCAACCUCAAGAAUAUGACGAUUCUUCCUUUCGGCCACUCCAUUCUAAGGUGGGGUGUCCGGACAUGAAGUUUGAUGAAGAAUCCCUUGGUUAGCCAUGAAAUCCCCAAAAAUAUUGUUCACAUACUCUGUACCAUUGUCAGUCCUGAGCACGUUGACCUGCACCUGAAACUGGUUCUUUACAAGAGCAUGGAAGUUCUGAAAACAGCUAAACACCUCAUCCUUGUGACGCAUCAAGUAAAUCCAAGUCAUACGAGAAUAGCAGUCAAUAAAGGUAACAAGAUACUUCUUUCCAUUCAUUGACACUACUGGGCUAGUCCAUACAUCCGAAUGAAUGAGCAUAAAAGAAGAUAUGCUCCUAAGCCCCUUACUCACAUAUGAGGCUCGUGUGUGUUUUGCAUAUUCGCAAGCAUCACAUGUCAACUUGCCAUUGCCUAUUCCACACAUAACAUCCGGAAAGAUUCUACUCAUCUUAUCAAAAGAUACAUGACCCAUUCUACAAUGAUGGAUCAUCGUCUGCUUCUCCUUGUCCUCCAUGGUCGCAGCACACACCAAGUUCGGUUGCACCUCCUGGUCCAUGUACCAGAGCCCCCUACGCCUGGUGCCAGUCUCAACCGUCUGGCUCGUCUAUCCCUCCUGAAUCAAGCAACCGAACUUGUCAAGGAUCACACGACAGUCUAUUUGAUCAAUGAGAGCACUGAAAGAGACCAAAUUGACAGGAAAAGUUGGCACAUGCAAAACUGACGAUAAUGAGAUGGUUGAAGUGCAUGUGACUGUGCCAACCCCUACGACAGGCUGAUUAAUACCAUCGGCAGUUUGUACAGUGCCCUUGUGAGUAGGAGCAUGCUUAUGGUAAGACUCAAACACACACGAAUUACCCGCAACAUGCUUAGAUGCUCCAAAGUCUAAGACCCACUCUAAAGCACUCUCAUUAGGAGGAAGACAUGCCUUCAUCGAAUUACCUUCAUCAGUGGAGGCCCAGUGAGCAAAGUCUCCAUAGGCCGCCUCAUCAACUCCCUUGCCCUGUGACGUCCCAGUGUCCUCUUCAACUACCAUAUGCGCCCUGCCCCCUAAGUUUCCUGAGUAGCCACCUCUGCCCCUAGAAAGUUGACCCCCUGAGUUCCAUGGGUAUCCACCUCUGCCUCGAGCAUACCUUCCUCUGCCAGUGCCCCCUCUGUUGUAUCCCCUGCCUCUACCACGAGUUGGACAUUCCCUCUUCCAAUGACCUACCUCCCCACAAAUAUGACAUUUGUUGGGAUCUCCCCACUCCAUGCGCUCAGUGACUGCAAAUGUCGAAGCUGGCACAAACUUCACGUUUGCAUGCGCAAGAGAUAGCCUCACCUCCUCUUGAGACAUUGCUGCAAUAGUCUCCUCAAUAGUUGGCAGGAGAGGUUGGUGCAACAGGGAAGCCCCCCUGCCAUGAAAGCAACCUCUGAGGCCUUCCAACAGUUUCAGCACGCGCCUGCGUGCAAUCCACUUGCGCCCUGACUCGAUGCACGCCGCAUCAUAGAGUUCCAGAGGAUCACAGUUAUCCUGCUCUGCCCACAAAGCCUGCAGCUCUGCUACAUAUGUCAUCACUGACAUGUCAUCGCCUUGGCGCAGCCGACUGAUCUUCCCCUCAAUCUGAGCAAUUAGCAUGAAAUUACCCUUGCCUGAGUAUUGGGUGGAUAGAGUCUUCCAUAUCUCGGCGGACGUGGAUAGUCCCUCCACAGAGCGACCAAUGGAGGGCACCACUGAGUUCAACAACCAGCCAACAAGCACAGAGUUUAUGACCUUCCACCGCUUUCCCUCCGCGGUAGUCUUGUCUCCGGGUUCAUCAACCGCACCCAAUAAGUGCCCAUCAAGUUCCUUCUGUUCCACAGCCAGCAAUGCCCUUCUGGACCAGCUCAAAUAAUUUGUGGCCCCCUCUAGCUUCAUGUCCAGGGGUGACAUUUCGAGCUUCUGAGCCACUUCCUGUCGAGGAACGAUGGCCCCAGAGUUGGAGUUGGACUCCGUGAGGAUCUUAGCGAGCUUCUCGAAAGCCUCAGCAAGCGCAUUUGGUUCAGCCAUCUCCGAUCCGGUAAACAGCAGCAGCAGCCCUCAGCAGCACAGCCCUACAGCUGCACGGUUGGUCCCUUUACACCCCCUGGCUAGCAGCAGCACCCAGCAACUCAGCAGCUCCAAGUGCAAGCAGCAACCACAGCCUCUUCCUCCAGCAGCAGUUCUCUCCCUUCUUCCUCUGCAAACAGCAGCAGUUCUCUUCCUCCUUCCUCUGCAAACAACAGCAGUUCUCUUCCUCCUUCCUCUGCAAACAGCAGCAGUUUCAGAGGAUCUUGGCCUCCAACAGCAGCCAACCCCCGCAGCAGUUCUCCAGCUCCCGGUCCCUGCAGACACACGCACACACACCAGCACAACAAGGAGCUGCCCUUCUCCACUACCCUUCUCCUCUUCUCCUCCCGCAGCACCACAGCCCGUUGGAGACCAAGCCGCUCCUCAGCUUCCUCCUCCUGCCGCGCAACACAGCAGCUCCACCUCUCCUUCUUCCUCUGCCGUGCAGCACAGCCUCCACCUCUCCUUCCUCUCCAACGAGCCGCACCUCCUGCGCAGCCACGCCACGCCUCCCAGAUCCGCCGCUGCCUCGCCGGACGCCGCCCAGAUCCAACGCCACCUCGCCGGACGUCGCCGUCGUCUUCUCAGGCCCCGCCGUCGCUGGCUCUGAUACCAUGUAGGAACGGGGGGAGAGAGGAGUACGGGAGGGAGAGAGGAGUACCUCCAGCACAAGUGUUUUGUGUGUGGCGGCUGUCUCAGGAACGGGAGAUGGCUAGGAGCCUCCUUUUAGGUUAGUCCCACUACAUGGGCCUGGGCCCUAAGAGAUAACUUGUAUGGGCUGGGCCAUACCGGUUCAACAUUUAUGUGCCUAACACACCAGCAAAUCAAAUGCAGCCUCCACUACAUGUCAAUAGUUCCAUGAAAAAAACAAAAAAAACUAAUACGAUAUUUAAUUGUAAGCAUACAACAAAUAGUACCACUCUAAAUCUGGUGUCGCCAUUCCUCAAAACAGAAAUUUUCAACCUUUCUUUUUUUUUAAAUUACAAUAAAGAGUAUCAAUGUUUAAGUUUCUAAGAAAAAAAGGAGAAGAAAAGUUUAGAACCAUGGGUUCAAUAUGAGAUUAGAACUACAGCCACCAUGCGAGUAGCCGAGGAUAGGGAAAUGUUGACAAUAUUAGAGCAUGUUUACGUCAGGAUAAAAUGUUGUCAAAAUUAUUCAUCUAGUUCAAUUAAGUUCUAUGAUGUAUAAAGUAUGUACUUGGCAAGAAAAAUACAAGGGGUUACCUGGAUAUAUGAUGCUGCAGUACACAUAUAUUUAUCUAACUAAAAUUAAGCCCACCACUUCCCGCUCUCAUAUUACUUCAGAAUCAUCAGUAUGAGAAAACAUUGAUACCCAUUACUUUAUACUGAUAAACUCCAUGCUCCGAGACAAGGUUGCACACGUCAUCGCCGACAAUUCCCUUCUCUUCUCGAAUCAACAUAUAACCAUGUUUUUAUCUUACAAGAGAAGGGAAUCCUCGCAAUCUGCUAGAUACAACAAGGUACUUUUGUAUGACGUGCCUGAGCCAUCAAUUUGCCGGUCCUUUUCUUCCUGAAACCAACAGAGACAACACCGACUGAUUUUCCAGCACGCAAUAGCUUCCCCUCAACUUCUAUUUCUUCCUGUAAAAAUAAAAGAAAUAGUUUACGGCAUGUCAAAUAACUAUUAAAAUAACAUAAGAGUGAAAAGACAAAGGUAUGUACAAAAUUAAUCAAGCCUUAUGAUGCUAUUCUAGCAAGAAACUGGCCAAAUCUGCCCUUUGGGGGGUAGGGGUGGGGGCAAAAAUUAUGAGAAAAGAUAACGCCCAUAUGUGUGGGUGUUUGCAAACCGUCCACACGCAUGAAUCUGCGUCUGUUUGUGCUUUGCAUUAAUCUUGGUAUUUUUUGAUAGUUUUUCUGUACCACGUAGGACUGAACUGGUGUGUCGGUAUUUAACCACUUCGCCCACACGGCCGUUUCUUUCUCAGCAGGAAUCUUUUUUGGUUUUCGGUUUAAAAAUGUUUUAUCAUGACAACUUCAGUGUAACAUCAUGACAACUGUUGAAGCACCCAUUUUUUUAAAUGUAACAUCAUGGCAACUGUUGUAACAUCAUGAAAUUUUUUUAAAUGUAGAAGAAAAAAUAGGUGAAACAUAUCAUGGCAACUUCAGUGUAAACACCAUGGCAUGGCAACUACAGUGUAACAUCAUGGCAACUGUUGUCCAAAAAAAUAAUUUAUCGAAAUAUAUUGAUAUGAGAUCUAGUUUCGAAGAUCUCGUCGCGAUGGAUUUAAUGAUAAAAACGGAUCUUCAAUCGGAUUUUUCAUUUACAAGAUAAAACAUUUUAAAAACUCAAAAUCCAAAAAGAUACCCACAUGCAUACAUGUGGUUUGGGCGUUAGCUAUUUUGCCCACACUCAGGCGUGUGAGCUAUUUCUCUUACACACCACACAAGAUGUAUGGGCAACACCCCUUAACACCCAGACGUGUGGGUGUUAUCAGGACCCAAAAUUAUAACCAAGCAACCUGAAAAGUACGUUUGGAUUUUUCAGAGCAAUAUUUGGACAACAUGACAAUAACUAUGAUCCUGAACUAAUUCUAGGAACCUCUUCAGAGCAAUAUCUGAACAAGAUGACAAUAAUUCAGAUCCUAAACUUAUUCUAGGAAACAUUUUGUACCCAGCUCCAGUCUGUAUUGAGCGAGUCAAAGGAAACAAAAAAUGAAUAACACCGUGUAAAUGCAGGCGCACUGAAUUCAACCAUCUUUUCUAAUUAGUACACACUUAUAUUCCUAUAAUAUUAAAAUGACUGGACGGUAAGAAGUGGUGGACCUUUUAUCUUGCCAAUUGAGAAAUAUUCAGUCGAGUAACAGACAAAAAAGAUCUCCACAUUUGAUCUGAACCAAUGAGAAAAGAGGGUCGUGUAUUUAACAUAGGUUCUGAAGUACGAGAAGAAUGCUCACCAAUUUGUUUCAGAUUCGAACUGAAUGCAUAAUAUCUUAGAUCGCGCAACCUAAGGUAAUGCAAAGAAAUAAAAUCAUACUAUUUAGGCAAUCCAAAUAGGCAUUGUAUGUACAGAAAAAUCAAAGGCGAAAUAGCAAAACAUCCAUGAAACUAAGCCAGUCACAUGAUGAUCAUAUUAAUGUCCACCUACAGCGGCCAAGUUUAGAAACCCCAAACGAGUGAGCAGAUGAAGCCAAGAAAAAGAAACACACUGAAGGGGAUCGGGAGACAGGGCCACCUACAUCGACCAAGUUUAGAAACCCCAAACAUGUGAGCAGAUCAAGCCAAGAAAAAAAAACACGAAAGGAGAUCGGGAGACACGACGGAGACCUUGAGGCGGGAAAGAGAGAUGGAGCGGGGUCGGGCUGCUUCUUCCCCUUACCUCUGCCCUCCCCCAUCUUCCCCACAAACCCCACAGCUGCUGCGUUGCUAGGCAUGGAGGGAGAGAGGAGCAGCAAAAGCAAGGACGCGGCGAGGAGGCAAAAACAGGCGGCGGAC